Molecule: ribosomal RNA, 253 nt
Filed under: uncultured bacterium
Lineage: Bacteria
Description: partial 16S ribosomal RNA
Rfam family: Bacterial small subunit ribosomal RNA
Source: RNAcentral
UACAGAGGGCUCAAGCGUUGUUCGGAUUCAUUGGGCGUAAAGGGUGUGUAGGUGGCGCGCUAAGUCGGGUGUGAAAUUUCGGAGCUUAACUCCGAAACUGCAUUCGAUACUGCCGUGCUUGAGGACUGGAGAGGAGACUGGAAUUUACGGUGUAGCGGUGAAAUGCGUAGAUAUCGUAAGGAAGACCAGUGGCGAAGGCGGGUCUCUGGACAGUUCCUGACGCUGAGGCACGAAGGUCAGGGGAGCAAACGGG